AGCAGCACAUACACUUUUAAAAAAAAGAUGGAGGGAUACAGAGAAGGUUAGCAUGGCCCCUGCGCGAGGAUGGCACGCAAAUUCGUGAAGCGGUCCAUUAAAAA
Small nuclear RNA from Rattus rattus (black rat), 104 nucleotides. Lineage: Eukaryota; Metazoa; Chordata; Mammalia; Rodentia; Muridae. The record is from RefSeq and is a predicted model, not a curated record.